GGCUUAAUUUGACUCAACGCGGGAAAUCUUACCGGGUCCGGACACACUGAGGAUUGACAGGCAAUAUUAGCACUUAACUUCGGCGACGUGUUAUGUUAAAUAUGCUAGUCCUUUCAUGAUUAUGUGAUAGGUGGUGCAUGGCCGUUCUUAGUUCGUGGAGUGAUCUGUCUGCUUAAUUGCGUUUCACCAAGGGCCUAUAAUUUUACGUGUGUUGCGGCACUUUGACCCCUCUUUUUUUAAAGAGCGCGUGUCUUGGUUUGCUUAGCUCGCACAAUUAGGUCCUGAAAGCAACGAACGUGACCGCAACCUCUUGUUGCCUUUAUACCAAACGUGCAUAUGUAAUUUUUUAAUUGCUUUGCGCGCAAAAAGGCUUUUUAAACUAGAGGGACCGCUGUUACUUUCUUAAACCAGAGGAAGGUUGCGGCAAUAACAGGUCUGUGAUGC
RNAcentral lists this ribosomal RNA (444 nucleotides) under Bulimina sp. Its description in RNAcentral is "SSU rRNA". It matches the Rfam family "Eukaryotic small subunit ribosomal RNA", at positions 1187 to 1470 of the family's 1831-position model. Lineage: Eukaryota; Foraminifera; Rotaliida; Buliminidae. The record is from RNAcentral.